This 463-nucleotide ribosomal RNA is filed under the name uncultured bacterium. RNAcentral describes it as "partial 16S ribosomal RNA". It matches the Rfam family "Bacterial small subunit ribosomal RNA", at positions 29 to 507 of the family's 1533-position model. The record is from RNAcentral.
AGUGAACGCUGGCGGCGUGCCUAAUACAUGCCAGUCGAACGAUGAAGUCCUAGCUUGCUCGGAUGGAUUAGUGGCGCACGGGUGAGUAAUAUAUAGUUAAUCUGCCCUACACAGAGGAACAACAGUUGGAAACGACUGCUAAUACCUCAUACUCCUAUUUGACAUAAGUUAAAUAGGGAAAGUCUUUUCGGUGUAGGAUGAGACUAUAUCGUAUCAGCUAGUUGGUAAGGUAAUGGCUUACCAAGGCUAUGACGCGUAACUGGUCUGAGAGGAUGAUCAGUCACAUUGGAACUGAGACACGGUCCAAACUCCUACGGGAGGCAGCAGUAAGGAAUAUUGCGCAAUGGGGGAAACCCUGACGCAGCAACGCCGCGUGGAGGAUGACACUUUUCGGAGCGUAAACUCCUUUUAUCAGGAAAGAAUAAUGACGGUACCUGAUGAAUAAGCACCGGCUAACUCCGUG